UUUUCUCUUCUUCCUUGAAAGCAUUCAUUUUGCUAUGUUGGUGUGAUCAAUAGGAAAAAAAAAAACACAGGAGAGUUCCCUUCUUUCUUUCUUUCUUUUCUUUUUUUCUUUUUUUUUUUUUAAGAGAAGGGACGAGUAAUUUAUACUGUUUUAGUGUGAAUACAUUUAAAUAAAUUAAAAAAUGACACGUCCUAGUAAUGCUCCCGGAGCAAGCAAACAAUCCAUCCAUGACAUGUUGUCGAAGUGAUGAGAUGUCAUAUUAAUACUGAGCUGCCAUAUUGGAGGCAGGUAGUACUCACAAGGUACUGAUAGAUUCAAUGAAGUUUGUGAUGGUCUGGGAACACCAAAGCUCCACUCUACUCUCUCUCUCUCUC
This 374-nucleotide long non-coding RNA is filed under the name Phoenix dactylifera (date palm). RNAcentral describes it as "long non-coding RNA (PDAC_LNC018142)". The record is from RNAcentral. Lineage: Eukaryota; Viridiplantae; Streptophyta; Magnoliopsida; Arecales; Arecaceae.